AUUGAACGCUGGCGGAAUGCUUUACACAUGCAAGUCGAACGGCAGCACGGACUUCGGUCUGGUGGCGAGUGGCGAACGGGUGAGUAAUGUAUCGGAACGUGCCCAGUCGUGGGGGAUAACGUAGUGAAAAUUACGCUAAUACCGCAUACGAUCUAUGGAUGAAAGCGGGGGAUCGCAAGACCUCGAGCGAUUGGAGCGGCCGAUAUCAGAUUAGGUAGUUGGUGGGGUAAAGGCCCACCAAGCCAACGAUCUGUAGCUGGUCUGAGAGGACGACCAGCCACACUGGAACUGAGACACGGUUCAGACUCCUACGGGAGGCAGCAGUGGGGAAUUUUGGACAAUGGGCGAAAGCCUGAUCCAGCCAUUCCGCGUGCAGGAUGAAGGCCCUCGGGUUGUAAACUGCUUUUGUACAGAACGGAAAGGUUUCUACUAAUACUAGGAGCUCAUGACGGUACUGUAAGAAUAAGUACCGGCUAACUACGUGCCAGCCGCCGCAGUAA
RNAcentral lists this ribosomal RNA (500 nucleotides) under uncultured bacterium. RNAcentral describes it as "partial 16S ribosomal RNA". It matches the Rfam family "Bacterial small subunit ribosomal RNA", at positions 30 to 523 of the family's 1533-position model. The record is from RNAcentral.